CAAUGUAGGCAUGAUAAAAAAUAUUUAUCUUUAAGAUUGCUUUUACUUUUUCAAAAAGGCUGAGGAAAUGCACUGCAUCAGCCUAUACAGUUUGUGGAAGCAUCUGGCUGGUUUCUCAGAUAAUGUGUGUGUGUCAAUUGUGAAUAACUUCAACAAGGACAGAUAAAGUCAGGGAGAGAGUAUCAGGCUAGAAACAUUAUAGGGGUUAACCAGUAGUGGUAUUCAAAUAUUUUAGUAGCCAGUUCCGACUUUUCAUAAGUUUUCGACUCCACAGGACUGGCCCAAGACA
This is a non-coding RNA of Pelobates cultripes (western spadefoot toad), 289 nucleotides long. The record is from the annotation of a GenBank genome assembly. Lineage: Eukaryota; Metazoa; Chordata; Amphibia; Anura; Pelobatidae.